This 311-nucleotide long non-coding RNA is filed under the name Ananas comosus (pineapple). RNAcentral's name for it is "long non-coding RNA (ACOM_LNC006244)". Lineage: Eukaryota; Viridiplantae; Streptophyta; Magnoliopsida; Poales; Bromeliaceae. The record is from RNAcentral.
UUAUAUUUAAUAACACGUAAAAGCACGUACCCUAAUAUAAUCUAACGUCACAUUUGAAAUUGUCGGUUAAACUCUCUGCAAAUGAAGAGUCGCUACGUAUAUAGCGACGCUUAUGCCAAGCGUCAGUAAAAUAUAUUCUGAUAUUUUAAAGCGUCAGGAUUUUUUUAAAUUCUGAUAUUUUAAAGUGUCAAAAAAUUAAAAAUAACAGUAAAAUUUAUCAAUUUAAUAAAUUAGUUUGAUAUAACAAAGAGUUCAUAUGACGACACUUUUUGAAUUGUCGGUAUUUGCUAUAUUUUUGGGACGCUUCCUCC